AUGGUGGCAACGGGUAACGGGGAAUUAGGGUUCGAUUCCGGAGAGGGAGCCUGAGAAACGGCUACCACAUCCAAGGAAGGCAGCAGGCGCGCAAAUUACCCAAUCCCGAUACGGGGAGGUAGUGACAAUAAAUACUGAUACGGGGCUCUUUUGGGUCUCGUAAUUGGAAUGAGAACAAUUUAAAUCCCUUAACGAGGAACAAUUGGAGGGCAAGUCUGGUGCCAGCAGCCGCGGUAAUUCCAGCUCCAAUAGCGUAUAUUAAAGUUGUUGCAGUUAAAAAGCUCGUAGUUGAACCUUGGGUCUGGCUGGCCGGUCCGCCUCACCGCGAGUACUGUCCGGCUGGACCUUUCCUUCUGGGGAACCUCAUGGCCUUCACUGGCUGUGGGGGGAACCAGGACUUUUACUGUGAAAAAAUUAGAGUGUUCAAAGCAGGCCUUUGCUCGAAUACAUUAGCAUGGAAUAAUAGAAUAGGACGUGCGGUUCUAUUUUGUUGGUUUCUAGGACCGCCGUAAUGAUUAAUAGGGAUAGUCGGGGGCGUCAGUAUUCAGCUGUCAGAGGUGAAAUUCUUGGAUUUGCUGAAGACUAACUACUGCGAAAGCAUUCGCCAAGGAUGUUUUCAUUAAUCAGGGAACGAAAGUUAGGGGAUCGAAGACGAUCAGAUACCGUCGUAGUCUUAACCAUAAACUAUGCCGACUAGGGAUCGGACGGGAUUCUAUGAUGACCCGUUCGGCACCUUACGAGAAAUCAAAG
Molecule: ribosomal RNA, 750 nt
Filed under: Penicillium limosum
Lineage: Eukaryota; Fungi; Ascomycota; Eurotiomycetes; Eurotiales; Aspergillaceae
Description: SSU rRNA
Rfam family: Eukaryotic small subunit ribosomal RNA
Source: RNAcentral